GAUGAACGCUGGCGGCGUGCCUAAUACAUGCAAGUCGAGCGAACAGACGAGGAGCUUGCUCCUCUGACGUUAGCGGCGGACGGGUGAGUAACACGUGGAUAACCUACCUAUAAGACUGGGAUAACUUCGGGAAACCGGAGCUAAUACCGGAUAAUAUAUUGAACCGCAUGGUUCAAUAGUGAAAGACGGUUUUGCUGUCACUUAUAGAUGGAUCCGCGCCGCAUUAGCUAGUUGGUAAGGUAACGGCUUACCAAGGCAACGAUGCGUAGCCGACCUGAGAGGGUGAUCGGCCACACUGGAACUGAGACACGGUCCAGACUCCGACGGGAGGCAGCAGUAGGGAAUCUUCCGCAAUGGGCGAAAGCCUGACGGAGCAACGCCGCGUGGGUGAUGAAGGUCUUCGGAUCGUAAAACUCUGUUAUUAGGGAAGAACAAAUGUGUAAGUAACUAUGCACGUCUUGACGGUACCUAAUCAGAAAGCCACGGCUAACUACGUG
This 497-nucleotide ribosomal RNA is filed under the name uncultured bacterium. RNAcentral describes it as "partial 16S ribosomal RNA". It matches the Rfam family "Bacterial small subunit ribosomal RNA", at positions 28 to 507 of the family's 1533-position model. The record is from RNAcentral.